This 769-nucleotide ribosomal RNA is filed under the name uncultured Actinomycetes bacterium. Its description in RNAcentral is "bacterial SSU rRNA". It matches the Rfam family "Bacterial small subunit ribosomal RNA", at positions 63 to 818 of the family's 1533-position model. The record is from RNAcentral. Lineage: Bacteria; Bacillati; Actinomycetota; Actinomycetes.
GGUGCGACGAACCAGGGCUUGCCCUGGGGCAAAGCCGCGAACGGGUGAGUAACACGUGAGUAACCUGCCCCGAUGACCGGGACAACCCGAGGAAACUCGGGCUAAUACCGGAUGUGGCGCACAGGCAUCAGCCUGUUCGCUAAAGGAAGCUUCGGCCUCCGCAUUGGGAGGGGCUCGCGGCCCAUUAGCUUGUUGGUGGGGUAACGGCCUACCAAGGCAACGAUGGGUAGCUGGUCUGAGAGGACGAUCAGCCACACUGGGACUGAGACACGGCCCAGACUCCUACGGGAGGCAGCAGUGGGGAAUCUUGCGCAAUGCGCGAAAGCGUGACGCAGCAACGCCGCGUGGGGGAAGACGGCCUUCGGGUUGUAAACCCCUUUCAGGAGGGACGAAGGCUCACCGGUGAAUAGCCGUGUGAGUUGACGGUACCUCCACAAGAAGCUCCGGCUAACUACGUGCCAGCAGCCGCGGUAAUACGUAGGGAGCAAGCGUUGUCCGGAAUCAUUGGGCGUAAAGCGCGCGUAGGUGGCCACAUAAGUCCGUUGUGAAAGUCAAAGGCUCAACCUUUGAAAGCCGAUGGAUACUGUGUGGCUAGAGUACGGAAGAGGCGAGUGGAAUUCCUGGUGUAGCGGUGGAAUGCGCAGAUAUCAGGAGGAACACCAAUAGCGAAGGCAGCUCGCUGGGACGUUACUGACACUGAGGCGCGAAAGCGUGGGGAGCGAACAGGAUUAGAUACCCUGGUAGUCCACGCCGUAAACGAUGGGUACUA